GACGAACGCUGGCGGCGUGCUUAACACAUGCAAGUCGAACGGAAAGGCCCUGCUUUUGGGGGGUGCUCGAGUGGCGAACGGGUGAGUAACACGUGAGUAACCUGCCCCUGACCUGGGGAUAACUUUAGGGAACUGGGGCUAAUACCGGAUAUGAUCUUCUGCCGCAUGGUGGGGGUUGGAAAGUUUCGGCGGUUGGGGAUGGACUCGCGGCUUAUCAGCUUGUUGGUGGGGUAGUGGCUUACCAAGGCUUUGACGGGUAGCCGGCCUGAGAGGGUGACCGGCCACAUUGGGACUGAGAUACGGCCCAGACUCCUACGGGAGGCAGCAGUGGGGAAUAUUGCACAAUGGGCGGAAGCCUGAUGCAGCAACGCCGCGUGCGGGAUGACGGCCUUCGGGUUGUAAACCGCUUUCGCCUGUGACGAAGCGUGAGUGACGGUAAUGGGUAAAGAAGCACCGGCUAACUACGUG
RNAcentral lists this ribosomal RNA (468 nucleotides) under uncultured bacterium. Its description in RNAcentral is "partial 16S ribosomal RNA". It matches the Rfam family "Bacterial small subunit ribosomal RNA", at positions 28 to 507 of the family's 1533-position model. The record is from RNAcentral.